UUGUCGUCAGCUCGUGUCGUGAGAUGUUGGGUUAAGUCCCGCAACGAGCGCAACCCUAUGUUAGUUGCCAUCAUCGGUUGGGCACUCUAGCGAGACUGCCGGUAAUAAACCGGAGGAAGGUGGGGAUGACGUCAAAUCAUCAUGCCCUUAUGACCUGGGCUACACACGUGCUACAAUGGUUGGUACAACGAGUUGCGAGUCGGUGACGGCGAGCUAAUCUCUUAAAGCCAAUCUCAGUUCGGAUUGUAGGCUGCAACUCGCCUACAUGAAGUCGGAAUCGCUAGUAAUCGCGGAUCAGCACGCCGCGGUGAAUACGUUCCCGGGCCUU
RNAcentral lists this ribosomal RNA (328 nucleotides) under uncultured Streptococcus sp. Its description in RNAcentral is "bacterial SSU rRNA". It matches the Rfam family "Bacterial small subunit ribosomal RNA", at positions 1049 to 1382 of the family's 1533-position model. The record is from RNAcentral. Lineage: Bacteria; Bacillati; Bacillota; Bacilli; Lactobacillales; Streptococcaceae.